UCCUUCCCGCCCUCUCCCAGUAACGGUCGGCGUGCCCGUUGCCGUUGCUACGGUUACGGCGGGGAGGGCGCCAUGGCCGCCGCCGCCGCCGCCGCCGCCUCGGCCGGGCCCACGGCAGACGCGGGUGGCGAUACCGGCUCCCAUUUCCUCGCUUGCUGGAAAGCUCUGUUCCUUCAGGGGUGAAGGAAGAGGUGGUGAGCAGCUGGACUGCAAGUAAGGUGCUUUAUAAAGGGUUGCGUUGCUCUAUAAUGGCUCUUGAUGUCUUUGACAGCCUUGUAUCAGGAACCCGGUGCACUAAACCCCUUCUAAGGAGAUGGAGUAGCUCAGUGUAAUUGUCUUGAACAUCCAGUUUCCUCUGGAGAAUUCUGUCUGCUUCUGUUAAAUCCUGGAGGCACUGAGUGAUUGGAUGGGGGCUCUGGAAAAUGUUAUCCAUUAACAAACUAGAGUCCAUUCUCUGAACCCCCUUUCCUUUCCCUCCCCACCCCCUGGGCAAAAUUAAGGUGGAAGGGAAUGUGUCCAAAGACAGGCUUUUCCCUCCAUUGCUAUAGUUACUUGGCAAUGAGACCCCUUCAAUGUAAUAUUGAAUAUUCUAUUUAUUAUUGUGUGACUCCAAGGUGACAUUUAGAACAUGCUGUCUUAAAAAAACUUUUUUUUGCAUUUCACGGCCCAGCAUGUGGUGUCCCAGGGUUCCUUCCCUCCCUGCUUCCCUCACGUUCUUGCUUCUCACUUCUUUCCUGUCUUUUUGUCAGUGUAAUAAUUAUAUGGGAAAAAAAGAAAAGGCUGAUGGCUGAAAGAAGCCAGACAGUUUCAAAAAUCCUUGAGUUUAUGUAACAGAAGUUAAAUUCUCAUAGGGUCAGAACCUGUAUCAGCAACUUGCUUAAUUAUGUACCUAACCUUAAUUAUAUGUUAAUAAGGCUACUCACAGACUAAAAGUUAGGCAUUUGCUUAAACACCUUGUUGAUUAGCAGUUCAACAGAUGCUCAUCAAAAAAGUGAACAGGUAGAGCUGGAAAUCUAAGAUGGAAAGGCACUGCUGCUGUUUCUGGGUUUCCUGUGGAAGAAAGUGGGACUGCAGUUUCCCGGGUGCCUUGUGGAAGGAGCCGUGCAGAGGGUUUGCAGAAGGCAGAGUCCAUAUAUGCACUCAGAAAUGCUCUCCACUGCUGCAAAACACUUGCUUUUGCAGCACCCUCCAGCCCUUGGGAUGACCCCUGUAACAGACCCUCGUUUUACAGAUGCACCAUGCCUGACACUGAGCCCUUUGAGCACACUCUUUUCUCUUCAUGUGGAUGAUCCCAUGUCAUGAUAUGUGCGGAAAUGCCUGUAAGCCGACUAGAUCCAAUGGAGCUGAGCGCCUGGAACUGUUCUGGAAGUGGUGGUGCAGGUCCCCAACCUCGCCUAGGCUCGCUGGAGCCUGAGAAGGCCAACACCUUAAUGAGCCUCCCGCCGAGCGCCCCAGGGCACCGAUCACAGGAUGUUUUUGUUUUCCUGUCUUGGCAACCUGCACCAGUACGGACUAAUCUAUAUACCACUGUAUUGUAGUGAAUCCUCUUAACUCUGGAAAAUAUAGAGAACAAGCAGCUUAACUCUUAGAAAUAAGUCUCAUCCCUAGAUUUAAAAAUGCUGCAUGAAAUACGGCUGCAUACAGGAAAACUCAGGUCUCUGGGCUUUGAACCUGCUGCUCAGCUGCAGACUUGCGAGGUAACUUGGCUUUGUGACUGGCUUCAGCAAUUUUAGCGUUAGGAUCUUCUUUUGCCUCGAAAGCUGUGCAGUUUUUCCAGCACUGCAAAAUGGAUGGAAGUUGUUACUGGUCUUAUCGAAAGGCCAUUUGUGCUCGUUGGCGUAGUAACUAUUCCAAACGCAGGGCUGCACAGAGGAUGGGCCCCUUCUCGAGCCGCUCUCCAGGCUCAAAGCUGCUGUUGCAAAUCAUGUUUCUCAGUCUUCUCUCAUUUCCUAUCCUGCCUUAUGGUUGCUAUGUAGAUGGCCUCUUCAGCUGCCUUUGUAAUGCAUCUUUUGUGGUUAUACUGAAAAAUGUAUUUUUAUGGCUAAAGUUCACCUCUGUGUUUUCUUCCUUUUCUUGCCUCCUUCAGUUUUCACUUGCAUUGAAUCAGAAUCAGACUUUUCCUCAAGCAGAGAUUUUUCAGUACCGCUGUUUCUUCCACCUGUCUUGUGGCUUUCACAGUUGUUUGGCUAUUAAAAUAGGACUGGAUAAACUUAUUUCAGUUUCUGUUGUUAGAGCAAACAAACAUAAAAACCUGAGCAAAGCAGCCCUAACCCUCAAGUAAUCUCAACUGAAUUUACUUAUGUGAAGAAAAAGCCUGCCCUAAGCAGAGGAAAUAGUGCUGCUGCUGUCCUUAUUACCAAUCAAGUGCCUUUCACCUGUGCUUCUUAAAAUCAAUGUACCAAAUGUGUUGCUGUUACUGCUAAAGUGAUUAUUUUCCUUAAGUAGAUUAAAUAAAAAAGAAUACAGCAUCAUAUACAAGGGUCAUCCUACUUAGCCCUGAACUAACACCACCUCUGGAGAGGAAGAUAACUAAUAAUGCAGUUAAUAACACUGUCUUGCAACACUUGUGGAUUUAUUGGACGUUUGCCACAUAUAGACCUGAACUGGCUUUAUUUAGCUGUCAACCCCUCCAGGAAUCCCAAGAGAAGGUGCCUCUGAGGGAGCGUAAGGACUGAAGGACCUGGGGAUUGCACAAGAGAAGCCACUUCAGAUUACUGCACACUUUAAACUGGCCUCAAAGAGGCUGGGCUGGCUGGUGUUGAAGAAUUGGAUUCAAAGCAUCUAGAGCAGGAAAUGCCUUUUGAGGUCAUGUGGCCUAUCUGCUAGACACGGAAUUGCACACGCUGUCAGAGUUUCACACCCUCUCUGGGAGGAUUACAUCAGAGCAGGAAGCCGUGUGUGAGCCCCCUGUCAGCGUUUCCAGCUUCCACAGCAGAAGUAAAUGGAACAACAAAAGGGGUUUUGGCUCCCAAGGGCCAAGUCUGCACUGCGGAAGCCAAACGGCACCAGGAGAGGGUUCUCAGGAUCCUGCUGCUCCAGCUCUGGUGAAACCCAGGCCAAAUAAUUGUUCCAGAAAAGCUAGAGGAAGAUGUUGCCACAUAAUAAAUCAGAUCUUCUCCUGGG
Long non-coding RNA from Dromaius novaehollandiae (emu), 3123 nucleotides. RefSeq lists it as uncharacterized. The transcript has 5 exons. The record is from RefSeq and is a predicted model, not a curated record. NCBI's taxonomy places the organism in Eukaryota, Metazoa, Chordata, Aves, Casuariiformes, Dromaiidae.